This 88-nucleotide small RNA is filed under the name Flavobacterium cauense R2A-7. RNAcentral describes it as "Flavo-1 RNA". It matches the Rfam family "Flavo-1 RNA". The record is from RNAcentral. Lineage: Bacteria; Pseudomonadati; Bacteroidota; Flavobacteriia; Flavobacteriales; Flavobacteriaceae.
UCAUAGCCCCGAUGGGAGCGGCAUCCUUUUACGGGGGCUGAGGCUCUCGAAGACCCCGUAAAAGAUUGAGCGGACAGCGGGAAAACGG